UACGGGGGGAGCAAGCGUUGUUCGGAUUUACUGGGCGUAAAGGGCGCGUAGGCGGCGCAACAAGUCACUUGUGAAAUCUCCGGGCUUAACCCGGAGCGGCCAAGUGAUACUGUCGUGCUAGAGUGCGGAAGGGGCUACUGGAAUUCUCGGUGUAGCGGUGGAAUGCGUAGAGAUCGGGAAGAACAUCGGUGGCGAAGGCGGCCUGCUGGGCUGUAGCUGACGCUGAGGCGCGACAGCGUGGGGAGCAAACAGG
This 253-nucleotide ribosomal RNA is filed under the name uncultured bacterium. RNAcentral's name for it is "partial 16S ribosomal RNA". It matches the Rfam family "Bacterial small subunit ribosomal RNA", at positions 524 to 776 of the family's 1533-position model. The record is from RNAcentral.